RNAcentral lists this unclassified non-coding RNA (314 nucleotides) under plant metagenome. RNAcentral describes it as "partial contains small subunit ribosomal RNA, internal transcribed spacer 1, and 5.8S ribosomal RNA". The record is from RNAcentral.
UUUCCGUAGGUGAACCUGCGGAAGGAUCAUUAGUGAAUAAACAAGUGCAGGUUGUGCUUGCCUUCUUGGUAGGUGCACGCCUGCCAACGUUUCAUUCUAUCUUCCCACCUGUGCACUAUGUGUAGAUUCUGUAUGCUAUUGUCAGGCCUUUAUUGAGCGUGGUUGAGAGGAGUUGCUUGUUUUCGCAGACAAGCUCUCCUUGGGCAUGCAGGGUCUAUGUUUAUAUUAACCCCAUAUGAAUGUUAUAGAAUGUGCUUUGGGCUUUUUGGCCUUUAAAUUAUAUACAACUUUCAACAACGGAUCUCUUGGCUCUC